Molecule: long non-coding RNA, 1526 nt
Organism: Cercocebus atys (sooty mangabey)
Lineage: Eukaryota; Metazoa; Chordata; Mammalia; Primates; Cercopithecidae
Exons: 5
Source: RefSeq, a predicted model, not a curated record
GGAUGACAGAGCACGUAAGGCAGAGUGCAGACUACAGACAUCGUAGGGGUUGAAGAAGGAGAAUCCUCCCACAUUGUCAUUGUUGACAGACAUCAACGGGCCUGAACAAAGAAGAGGAUAAAUAGGUCAAUCCAUCAUCAAACCAGCUCAGUUGUAGGGAGGAGACUAUAAAACAGCCCUGAAUGGCCAUAGCGGGAGCUACCAGAUAAGGAGUCCUAGAGGAUCGCAGCACCUGCCGAGCCCAGAUGUGGUCAGGAUCCAUUCUGUCAUAGCCCAGGGAGCAGCCAUCACAAAAACUCUUCGAUGCUUGUAGACUGAGAGCAGACCUUCAGAAGCACAUGGGGGGCCCAUCCACGGUGGGGCGCCUGAAGGAAGGAAAGAUGUCUGGCCCAACCUCCUGGGCAUGGCACAUCAGUCGUCUGGCAGUCAGUGGGAAGGAGAACCUGGCAGCCAGAGAGCUGCACGUAGGCACCAAGUUACAGUGCCCUCAGAUGAAAAGGAUAAAGAAUGGCUUAAACUCUAGAAUGUCAACACAUGAAACUUGAAAAAAUAUUGCUUCUCAAACCACCAUGGCACAUGUACACCUUUGUAACGAACCUGCACGUUCUGCACAUGUAUCCCAGAAGUAUUAAAAAAAGAAAAAAUAUUGCUUCUGAUCCAACGAAAGGAUACAGGCCUUUACAAGGUAAGUCACAGGAUAUUGUUGGAACAUCCAGCAUGAAGGUAGGAAAAGUUAAAAGUAUGAAUAAACUCAAGGAAGGUUUAGGUAAUUUUAGAGAGACCGUAUCUAUACUACUCAGAGGUUUUUAAGUGAAGUAAGGAUGUUUAAGAGACCUUGAACACCAGAGUUUCAAAAUAAUAGCCCUGAGAGCUCCAUGGGCUGUGUGCAGAGGCUCAAUCCUGGGCUGCUGGCCCUGGCAGACCAAAUGUGGCCUUCUUUUGUGCUCCUUUUCUUAUGUUUUAUUUCACGGCAUGGCUUAGCACCCUAAGCCAGGCACUCUGGGGACAUGCAAUAGAAAUAAAUAUAAAAUGCGAAUUCCAUUCGUACCAACUUUCAGUAUGCAACUGUCAAUCAAUUCCAUACCCCACUUACAAUCAGUUCCUACAGAGAUGAACUCAUACAGAGCAGGUGGUUUCUAACUGAAGAAUUCGACUUUUCUAAGUCAAAGAAGGGUCAGAGUUGCCAAAUGAAUGCCGUACUCCAGAAGGAAGUGAGCACAGCCUUCUCUUACAGGGAGUAGGGUGGCCUGAUGCUGAAAGACAGGGAGCCUAUGGAAGUUUCUUUGGGGUAGGGCAGGGACGCGACUAAGUCUGAGUCUGCAACAAUGAAAAUAUUCUAAAUCUUACUAAACACUGAAAUAAAAUCAGUUCCUAAUAUUUACUUUUGGUUGUUGCAAUUCCUAAAAGUCUUUAGCCAUCGUGGAAGAAUUAAAACAACAUAUUAAAUGGAGUUAAUAAAGAUGACCUUUUUUCCCUUCCAAUAAUUUGUGUUAGUGCUAUCAUUACAAUACAUUUUUAAAUGGAAG